Molecule: small nucleolar RNA, 108 nt
Organism: Cephalotus follicularis
Lineage: Eukaryota; Viridiplantae; Streptophyta; Magnoliopsida; Oxalidales; Cephalotaceae
Rfam family: Plant small nucleolar RNA R71
About the family: R71 is a member of the C/D box family of snoRNAs containing the C (UGAUGA) and D (CUGA) box motifs.
Source: Rfam
ACGACAUGAUGGGGACAUUUUUUUGAUGAGAUCCUUUAAUCGUUCCCAUGAUUCAUGGAACUGCUCACCAUCUUGUUGCGAGAAGCUAGUGAGAGCUCAUCUUAUCUG